This 403-nucleotide ribosomal RNA is filed under the name uncultured bacterium. RNAcentral describes it as "bacterial SSU rRNA". It matches the Rfam family "Bacterial small subunit ribosomal RNA", at positions 976 to 1380 of the family's 1533-position model. The record is from RNAcentral.
CGGGCUUGAACUGCAGCGGAAGGAUACAGAGAUGUUGACGCCCUUCGGGGCCGCUGUGGAGGUGCUGCAUGGUUGUCGUCAGCUCGUGCCGUGAGGUGUCGGCUUAAGUGCCAUAACGAGCGCAACCCUUGUCAUUAGUUGCCAUCACUUCGGGUGGGCACUCUAGUGAUACUGCCACCGCAAGGUGUGAGGAAGGUGGGGAUGACGUCAAAUCAGCACGGCCCUUACGUCCGGGGCUACACACGUGUUACAAUGGCGUGUACAGAGAGUUGGACUAUGGCGACAUAGUUCGGAUCAAGAAAGCACGUCCCAGUUCGGAUAGGAGUCUGCAACCCGACUCCUUGAAGCUGGAUUCGCUAGUAAUCGCGCAUCAGCCAUGGCGCGGUGAAUACGUUCCCGGGCC